Molecule: long non-coding RNA, 4047 nt
Filed under: Nicotiana tabacum (common tobacco)
Lineage: Eukaryota; Viridiplantae; Streptophyta; Magnoliopsida; Solanales; Solanaceae
Description: long non-coding RNA (NTAB_LNC008412)
Source: RNAcentral
AAUUACCCUAUAUAAUAAAAUAUAAUGCACUGAGAUUUGCAUAAUUCACAAAAGAAAACUAUUCAUCAAUAAAAUCAUAAUCCAAAAUAUCUAACUUGUGUAUCAAAAUAUAUAAUGGCGAACUUAAUUUUUCACAAAUUUCAAAAAUAAAUAAUUCCUAGAACAUCUGAAAUUCUAGCAACGAUCACUAAUACAUCCAAGUUCUUCUCUGCUAUUAUCUAUCAUUCAUUCAUUUGCUUCACCUACAAAAAAUUAUAAAUAAAUAAUUAGUAAAAGUUUCAUAAAAGAAUAUAUUCACAAGCAGUAUUACACCAAAAACAUAUUAAUUUUUUGAGAUCUCAAUAUCAAAGGAAACCUUUUCUUCUUAUAGAUGUAAAUAUUACAUCCAAUCAUUUCUAGGAGCCAUCAAUUAAUUGAUGUUGUAAGCACUCCAAAUAAUAAAGUAUAAAAUCACUAAACACUUAUGUCAGUAUAAAUUUUAUAGAAAAUUGAAACUAUCAUUUACAAGUGAGGAAGAUUUUGCCACCCUAUCUUUGGUUUUUCAUGCUGGAAAAUAAUCAUAGACACUUACUCGAGGUUUUCCUUGGCUUCAAUAACUACAGGUUGCUCUUUUCUUACUGCAAAGGCAGCCUUAGCUACAUCUUGAGCAGCUAAAGCUUUUAAAUGAAGUUUAGUCAUUUAAUCUUACUAAUAGACUGCAUUUUCCUGUUAUACUUUUAAAUGAAGAUUAAUUACACCCUUUUAGUGCAACAUAUAUUUUUUUUGUUUGGUUCAGAGAGUAUCUACCCGUUAAUAUUAUAGCAUGACCUCGUCUGUUAGAUCCAUUUUCAGGUGAGAUACUCGAAAGCAGUAGAACAGCAACAUAUAGUACAAUAAGAGUCUAAGCUAUUUAGCAAGAAUAGUGUUGCAGUCCUGUAGUAUCAAUAAUCUGAUUAAUUGGUAAGAAUAAGAUGUUCAUUAAUUAGUUGAAGAACUUGGUUAUGGUCUUACCAAUCCUAAAAGUCGAGGGUUUUGCUUUCUAUGCUUUUGAAGCAUAGUUCUCAAAAAGACAACAAUCUCCAACUUAAAAAGCAACCGAAGCACCAAGGUCACAAGUAAAUAUAAAAAAAGAUAUUGCACCAGAAAGGUUGUCUAAAAUAAAAGAUGAUAAGAUCUUUAACAUCUUUUGGAUAAUCCAGGCAGGUAAUAAUGGAUAUAAUUUGUGGCAUACAGAGUAAAUAAAGCUCACUGCUUUUCUAAAGCAUAAUGAAUUCUAUAAAUUGUAGAUUGUAUGAGGAGUCUUGAUCAUGGUGGUAUCCAGCUUACUUAAUCAAGCUAGGCCAUCUUUGUAAAUGAACAACCUUUGAAAUAUAAAGUCGUUCGAUUAAUUAUUUAGCCUCCAAGUUUCUAUUCAAGCAAUAAUACGUAAUAGUCAUCUGCAAUUUUCAUCAUUUUGACACUUUCAAUAUAGUAUUCAUAACUUCUCUUCUGAUGGAUAGACUUUCUCAUAAUAUUCUUUCAGUAAGCAGCUUAUUCCAUGGCUGUUAUUUAGGUUUUUCAGUAGUUAUUGUCCUUAUUUUCAUUUAAAGACUUUAACUACUCACACAUCAGGUUUUCAUGUUAAUUGCUUAGGUAGUAUGAAAGUAAUAUGCCUUCUAUAGGGAAGAAGCUAUACAAUUGAUCUAUAUCAAUAGCAGAAAGUUUGCACACACUACUAAAGGAUAAUAGUCUUUAAGAUAUGUACCUUGUUAGAAAAACCAAUCUGACCAAUAACUGCUAUUCCUUAAUGCUUAAUUCUAAAUCUAUUGCCUCUUGACAUAUGCUUCUAGCAGCCCUGUUACUCCUAAGACAAGUCAUGACGCACAAAUAAUCAGGAACUCACAAUAACGUAACCAAAUAAUAAUUGACAUAAAGCUUGAACAGUAGUCUAAAACCAAGAAUUAUAAAUAAUUAACUUAUCUUUUCUUCAGAAAGUCAAUAGUGACUUAUAGCCUAUACUCCAAAAACAAACCUCCAUUUGCUUCAAACUUUCAUCGCUUGAUACAAAAUUCAAGCAGGCUACUGGGGUAUCUGACACGGCAGCUUAUGGACUGGAUACUGUUGCAGCUAUGGUCCUGCAGCUCAUACACAAGCUACAAUAAUCAUUGGGCUAGCCAUCUUAACUUUACCAGUAAAUCUAUUAAAGAAAUAAUUAUGAAUCUUAAAUUUUUAAAAUGUCAAUUUCCAUAUGAAUCAGUAAAUUCUUCUAACAAAAAUCUCACAUGAAAUAAAAAAUAUAGAAAACCAAAGAGGCAGGUAUCGCGAAAGAUUUUUAUCUCCCAGUUUUCUAUCUAAAAGAAUUCACCCCGGAUAGUCAAGCCGGUAUUAUUUUACCUUUUUAUGAUUGAAUACCAAUAUAUAAUAUAAAAGAAAUAGUACUGAAGUGAAUGAUAGUAGGUGUUGGGAUUAGUUACUCAAUAAUGCAGUAGGAUAACAAGUGUUAGGAUUAGUUACUCACUUAUUCAAUAAGAAAGUGACUUGGAUCUCUCUUAUAUUCUCCCUCUCACACAAGUUUUUAUAUAGCUAUAUAGUUUCUCUCUUGCUUUUCUCCAUCACACAAGGUUUAUAUAUUCAUUUUCUUUUCUUUUUCUCGUACGUCUCAACUCAAGGCUCAAAGGAAAAAAAUCAUCAGAACAAUAAAAAUUACUACCAUGAAGAAACUAGCUUCCAUUAAUAAGUUAAUACAUUCUCAUCAAGCUCUCAUCAUACAAGUAGACUAUUCUCGUUAGUAAAUUAAAUAUUACUAGUAAGUUUCGGUAACAACAAACUCAAAAUACAAAAUGCUUAUGAUAGUAGGCAUAUUUCGAACUGCAAAAGAAAGUUAACCCUAUACAAAACACAAUGACCAAAGUUCUUUUAUGGAUGCUUUAAUAAUAAUUAAAAAUCACCAACUCGUAACGACGUAACUAUUACUUAAUCUGGAGCUAAAAUCACUUUAACACUCUAUAAUUGUUCACAUAGUUCAGCUCCUUCACUCCAUUCCUGUAUUGUCAAUUAUAGAUACCUUUGCACGUGUAAAAAAUUGAGAAACUACUGUCCAAAAACAAGCAAAACAAUUGAAAAAUUCACAAAAUCCUAGAGAAACUCAUCUAAAUCUACUUUAGAGGCUCAAGACACAAAUGCUUGAGAAAAAUCUAAGUUCAAACCAGAGAAGAGUGAGCAUAGACAACCAUAUAAAUUGUAAGAAACUCCAGGUAGUAGGAAAAUUUAUAACCUGACAUAAAUUCCCAAUUUCAUUCAAUGAAGAUCAUAUUAACCUGAUUAAGUUCAUACGCAUAACAACCAAACACUUUCAUUAAAUCCAAAAUCUAGGAGCAUUAUAACUGUGAAAUCACAUGCAAUAUCACAUAUAAAAACCAAAAGGGAAGAGAAAACGGACCUUCAAUUGAGCAAAAUUUACCAAAUACUUUGACCUACCAGGGAUCUCGAUAAAUCUGCAAACCCUAGUUUUGAUAACACAUCUCUAAAUCUCUAAGACUUCAAACUACAGUUGGUGAAGAGUUGUUUUAAGAUGAAUUUGGGGAUUCUACAAUUGAUUUUGUAUGAUGAUUUUUGGUGUAAAGGACUGAUUACAAGUUCUAGAUUCUCGUUUUGGACAAAAAAUGGGAGAUGAAGUCUAGGCUGAAGAAGCUUGAAAAUGAAAUAUAGUCGGCGUUCUAGAUUUGCUUGAUGACAUCUGGAUCUGCGAUAUCCCUUUGCUAAAUCUAGAUUCGAGAUCUCCCUUUGCUCGAUAAGAACUGGGUCGGCAUUGUGCCUUUACUCGAUGAGAGGGUUUCUAGAAGUGAUUUGAUGUAUUUUUUAGAGGGAUUCGAUGGGUUCUCUAGAGAAAUGUUAUAAGAGUGUUUAAGUAUAUAUAUUUGGCAAAACAUACAAAGUGAAAUAGAAAAUUGAAAAAAGAGACGCUUAAAAGAAGUUCUGUUUUGGGGAAAAUUAGAAGGGAAUUGAAAAAUGUUGCAAUAAGGAAAAAACACAGAAUCGUUGCCCUAGAUAUAUCUAUUGUAGUGGUUAUAAAACAACGAUACAAUAGAC